AACGCACGAGACCUGCGGACCUGCGGAGGGAUCAUUACUGAAUUGAUUUUGGGGAUGUUGCUGGUCUCUUGAGGCAAUGGUGCACUCCCUCAAACAUUUCACAAUUUCCAUCUUACCCAUGUGCACAUCCUGUAGGUGGUCUCCCAACCCACCCUCCAAGGAAAGGGGGGGAGUGUGUGGGUCUGGUCUCCUAUGUAUUUCCUUGCCAACAUCACACGUUUUGACUGAGUGAAUCCUGUG
RNAcentral lists this unclassified non-coding RNA (240 nucleotides) under soil metagenome. RNAcentral describes it as "partial contains 5.8S ribosomal RNA, internal transcribed spacer 2, and large subunit ribosomal RNA". The record is from RNAcentral.